This 668-nucleotide ribosomal RNA is filed under the name uncultured archaeon. RNAcentral's name for it is "bacterial SSU rRNA". It matches the Rfam family "Archaeal small subunit ribosomal RNA", at positions 251 to 919 of the family's 1478-position model. The record is from RNAcentral.
UACUAGCCGACGACGGGUACGGGUUGUGAGGGCAAGAGCCCGGAGAUGGAUUCUGAGACACGAAUCCAGGCCCUACGGGGUGCAGCAGGCGCGGAACCCUUACAAUGUGCGAAAGCAUGAUAAGGGGACUCCGAGUGCCAGCAUCUAAUGCUGGCUGUCCUUGUGCCUAAAAAGCACAAGAUAGCAAGGGCCGGGUAAGACCGGUGCCAGCCGCCGCGGUAACACCGGCGGCCCGAGUGGUAGCCGCUAUUAUUGGGUCUAAAGGGUCCGUGGCCGGUUCAGUAAGUCCUUUGGGAAAUCUGGUUGCUUAACGAUCAGACUGCCAAGGGAUACUGUUGAACUUGAGACCGGGAGAGGUAAGAGGUACUUCAGGGGUAGGAGUGAAAUCUUGUGAUCCCUGGGGGACCAUCUGUGGCGAAGGCGUCUUACCAGAACGGGUCUGACGGUGAGGGACGAAAGCUGGGGGCGCAAACCGGAUUAGAUACCCGGGUAGUCCCAGCCGUAAACGAUGCUCGCUAUGUGUCAGGUACGGUGCGACCGUAUCUGGUGCCGUAGGGAAGCCGUGAAGCGAGCCACCUGGGAAGUACGGUCGCAAGACUGAAACUUAAAGGAAUUGGCGGGGGAGCACUACAACGGGUGGAGCCUGCGGUUUAAUUGGAUUCAACGCC